GGCCUGAUGGUCCAACGGUACGAUACUUGCUUUGGGAGCAAGUGACCCCGGUUCGACUCCGGGUCAGGCCC
Pestalotiopsis sp. NC0098 is the source of this 71-nucleotide non-coding RNA. The record is from the annotation of a GenBank genome assembly. NCBI's taxonomy places the organism in Eukaryota, Fungi, Ascomycota, Sordariomycetes, Amphisphaeriales, Sporocadaceae.